CUUCCUCUCUUCUCUCUUUCUUCUUCUUUCCUUCCUUCCUUCCCUCCUCCCUCUCCGAUUCUUUCCCUCUUCCUUUCCCUUUUUUCUCAUUUCGCUUCCUUUUUGCAGAGAUGUGUCAAGGGCAGGGAUGGUGGUCUGACAGGGGACAGGAGGGGGAACAUCAUCAAUCCAACUCAUUUCUGUAAACGGCACCUGCAAUGUAUCCGAGCAUUGUACAGGAUUCCAGAGAAACAUAAAAAAUGACGAGUACUUGCAUCUCAAGAAAUUGACAUUCUACUGGUUAUUAAUGAAUGAAAGGAUUGUAAAGGUUGGAGUAGAAGAUAAAAAGAAACAGAGGAGGCAUAAGAAAUGGAAUGGUUAUGGUAAUGAUUGGAAUGACGCCACCUGCUGGAGACUUACUGUAGAAAAGCUGCGCCAUGAGGUGAACAUCUCUGAGGGCAAGACCACUCGUCUUUUCUUUGGC
Molecule: long non-coding RNA, 463 nt
Organism: Dromiciops gliroides (monito del monte)
Lineage: Eukaryota; Metazoa; Chordata; Mammalia; Microbiotheria; Microbiotheriidae
Exons: 4
Source: RefSeq, a predicted model, not a curated record